Molecule: unclassified non-coding RNA, 244 nt
Filed under: Hevea brasiliensis (rubber tree)
Lineage: Eukaryota; Viridiplantae; Streptophyta; Magnoliopsida; Malpighiales; Euphorbiaceae
Source: RNAcentral
GACUUACUUCUACUGUCGUAGAAAUUUUGAAAGGCCAACUCACUAGUUGGAAAAGUAAAGUAAAUGCUAAUAGGGAUAUCGAGUUCUUACUUGCUUAAGGAUCAGAACCAAUCUCAAUAUAUAUUUGGUUCUAGAAAUGUGAAUCCCAUUCUUAACACAUCUUCUACUGGUUUGCUUGAGGAUCAGUCCCAAUCUUAAUAUAUAUUUUGUUCUAGAAAUGUGAAUCCCAAUCUUAACACAUCUU